Molecule: non-coding RNA, 1913 nt
Organism: Danio rerio (zebrafish)
Lineage: Eukaryota; Metazoa; Chordata; Actinopteri; Cypriniformes; Danionidae
Source: the annotation of a RefSeq genome assembly
UCCUUAUUAAAAUGAACCCUCACUUGCUGAUCAACAAGGGAAAAUGUGUAUAAAUGAUGUGUGUCUGACGUCCAAACCCAAACUCUGAAACCACCUGAUGAACAUCUACACACUCCUGAAAUCAAAGGAGACUCUUCAGGACAAGGCUGUAGAAUUAGCGGGGAGAGAGGAGACGUGUCCAGACCAAUAUCCACCCAUUACUGAAAUGACCCCAUCAAUAAUUUAGUCACGUCCGAAAUAAAAUAAUGCUGUCAACUCUCAUUAAUGUAAAUGUACAGAAAGGGUUCAAUCCUGUUCUCCAUCUCCCUCAAACACAUAUGGACAUGGCGAUUGGCUGUGCCUUUCUCUGCUGUCUAGUGAGCGGCUGCUACGGUUCGUUUAGAUGUUUGCAGCACAAAACUAGAAAGGAAAUUAUCCAGUCAGGAUUUACUGUAUUAGACUCAACUGAGACGAGGACAUAAUGUAAGACAAGCGACAUAUUAAAGACAAGUGUAAGUCACUUCAAGUCAAGUUUGCUGCUAGUCCACCAUAACAGUAGGCAUGACUGUAAAUAAUCAACAUUUAUUUCUGAUUUUGGCCUCCAAAACAAUUAUUAAAAAACAAUAAUCAAGAUAAAAUAGUUGUUGCGUCACAUGUCUGCCCCUUUCCAGAAGAUUAAUUCCUCCUCAAACUGAAAUUGUGUAAAUAUUGCAGCAUGAGACCUGCUUGAUUUCAUGUUGUUUUUAGUAUUAAGUGUAUUAGAUUUACUUAUUUACAAUGUUUUCAAAAGCCUGAAAUGAAGCGCAUGAACAGAACAGCACAUGAGAAUGAUCAUCAUUUCAGCUCAUCACUUCUUCUUUGUUUUUGUGUGCAGGUGGAGAGUAAAUCUACACUCUUGCUUUGAGCACAGGCUCAUUUAAAAAUGUUUAUAUUUGAAUAUUAGGGUUUUGUUAAUGCUGAUCUUGCUGAUCUGUGUUCAGUGUGAGCUGGAGGUUUUGAAUGUGUGUCCUGCCCCUGACACUGGAGCUCAAUAUCAGUCUGACUGUGAAUCAGCAUCUCUGUCCUUCAGUUCUCUGAGCUUCAGUGAAGAUGAAGACGCUCGCUCUGAUCAUCUGCUCUCUGCUGCUGAUCCUCCACGAGUGUGGAGGACAGAUCAGCGUCACUCAGAGUCCCUCAAUCACAGCAGAACCAGGCAAACCCGUCACCAUCACCUGCAGAACCAGCACAAAUGUGUACAGGGAUAGUGAUGGAGAUGACUACUUAUUCUGGUAUUUGCAGAAACCUGGAGAAGCUCCUAAACUCCUGAUUCGUUAUGUGAAAAAGCUUCAGUCAGGAACUGCAUCUAGAUUCAGUGGCAGUGGAUCUAACAGAGAUUUCACUCUGAGCAUCAGUGGAGUCCAGACUGAAGAUGCUGGACAAUAUUACUGUCAGAGUUACCACUACAUCAACAGUAAUAAUGUGUUGACACAGUGAUAAAGAGUGGUACAAAAACCUCCGUCAGUCAGUCAGAGUCACAGAGACUGAACUGAUCCUGGAGCAGCUCACAGGAGGAUGUGAAACUACAGUCACUCAAGCAUCAGAAAUAAAAUCAUCCAGAUGAAUCUGUCACUCUUCAUCAUCACAGAGAGCAAAAGUCAAAGCACUCAACAAAAACAAGUUUACAGACUCAACAGUGCAGAAUAACUUAAUAUAACUGUAAUAUCAGUUUUAUUGAAGGUUUAUCAGCAAUUUAAAUAUAAAUAUAAAUCAUGGAUAAAUUGGAUCUAAUAGUUAAACCAAUCAAACAGUGUUCAGAGUUUCUGCAGCUCAGAAUAGAGCAGAACAAACCACAUUUACAGCCCUCAAAUAUUACAAACAUCACAACCAUCGACACACUGAAUAUAUCCCUAAACAUAUCUCUGAAUAUCUCUCUGAAUAGAAUCACUCCAUUACAC